Molecule: long non-coding RNA, 758 nt
Filed under: Homo sapiens (human)
Lineage: Eukaryota; Metazoa; Chordata; Mammalia; Primates; Hominidae
Description: long intergenic non-protein coding RNA 467
Source: RNAcentral
GCGGCGCUCGCCGCACUGGUUGUUCAGCACCUUCGGUCCGGUUGAGGUUGUCAAGUCGGACCAAACAGGUUGUUUCUCUGCAGUUUCCAUUACGAAAGAUGAGUAUUUAGUACUCCAUUUGUGCUGUUUUCCUUUUGUGGUAUCAUUCAGCCUUGUGGCUUCAAACAUUGUACUGAAGAUUCUCAGACUUAUUACUACAUGGCAGGGAGGUUUAAUAGACAUGGAUAAGAAGUCCACUCACAGAAAUCCUGAAGAUGCCAGGGCUGGCAAAUAUGAAGGUAAACACAAACGAAAGAAAAGAAGAAAGCAAAACCAAAACCAGCACCGAUCCCGACAUAGAUCAGUGACGUCUUUUUCUUCAGAUGAUCCUAUGUUUCCUUCUUCCUCAUCAUCGUCUUCAGGAAGCCAGACAGAUUCAAGUAUUGAAGAUGCUGCCAAGGGAAAAAUUAAGAAGAAGAGAAGAGAGAAAACAAAUAAAUGGGAAAAAAGAAAGGACAAAAUAUGAAACACCAAGAAAAAGAGAAGGAAAAAAAGGAGGAAACAACCACAUAUGUCACCUUUCCAAGGCCACAGGAAAUGGAGUCUGAAAUAAAGCCACUGUAUCUAAAACAUUUAUUUAAUGGUAAAACUUGAUGAUUAAUAGUAUUAUUAGCGUUUUAAAGACUAUAUGUUUAGAGUUUGAAGUAAAGCUCCAGUGUUAAUUUAACUUACUUUUCAAGGCUUAACGUGUUCUCAUCUAAAAACAAUGAUGUCCAAAA